RNAcentral lists this ribosomal RNA (551 nucleotides) under Methanosarcina sp. enrichment culture clone G10. Its description in RNAcentral is "bacterial SSU rRNA". It matches the Rfam family "Archaeal small subunit ribosomal RNA", at positions 109 to 658 of the family's 1478-position model. The record is from RNAcentral. Lineage: Archaea; Methanobacteriati; Methanobacteriota; Methanomicrobia; Methanosarcinales; Methanosarcinaceae.
CUGCCCUUGGGUCCGGCAUAACCCCGGGAAACUGGGGAUAAUUCCGGAUAACGCACAUAUGCUGGAAUGCUUUAUGCGUCAAAUGGAUUCGUCUGCCCAAGGAUGGGUCUGCGGCCUAUCAGGUAGUAGUGGGUGUAAUGUACCUACUAGCCGACGACGGGUACGGGUUGUGAGAGCAAGAGCCCGGAGAUGGAUUCUGAGACAUGAAUCCAGGCCCUACGGGGCGCAGCAGGCGCGAAAACUUUACAAUGCGGGAAACCGUGAUAAGGGGACACCGAGUGCCAGCAUCAUAUGCUGGCUGUCCGGGUGUGUAAAAUACACCCGUUAGCAAGGGCCGGGCAAGACCGGUGCCAGCCGCCGCGGUAACACCGGCGGCCCGAGUGGUGAUCGUGAUUAUUGGGUCUAAAGGGUCCGUAGCCGGUUUGGUCAGUCCUCCGGGAAAUCUGACGGCUUAACCGUUAGGCUUUCGGAGGAUACUGCCAGGCUUGGAACCGGGAGAGGUAAGAGGUACUACAGGGGUAGGAGUGAAAUCUUGUAAUCCCUGUGGGACC